UUGAAGGUCAGUGGGUGGAUUAGAGCUGAUUUGGAACUCAAAAGGGUGAAUUUCUGUAAGUUGGAGGUUGAAGAGUCGACCCUUGCCCUUGAGAAGUUGACCAUAGGGAUUUUUUUUUGAACAAUGGUAGUUUUCUGGAAUAGGAUCAACUACUCGCCCCCUUUUCAGAGAAGUCGGCUUUAGAGCAAAAUCAUAGUCAUAGUCAACCCCUUACCUUAUGCAGUCGACCCUAGAGCACAGCAGUAGAAAAAUAAAACCCUAAAACCCCCAAAACUCGAGCCUCCUUCAUUUCUGUUUGUUCUUCCACUCUUGUUAUCUCAAAUUUCUCAACUCUCAAGACCUUCAAACUGCAUUAUUAAACCUUGACCUUCAAUAACUAAAGGGUUUCAAGAUUUGUUAGAACCCUUGCGUAAGAGCUCGCCAAGGUACUGUUGGAGUAGUUUGAGUUUUGAAGAAGUUGAGCUUUCGACGAAAUGUGUCAAGAGGAAAGGCACACUUCCAUGAGAUGGUUGCAAGAUAGGUUCUAAAAUAGUGAAGUUCAUCUCAAAGCAUUCCAAGAUCAUCAAUCUACACUACAACAAGCAUACUUCAAGUCAAGAAACGUAGUCAUCACUCAACAUUUGAUCACAAGGAAAAUAUGGUCAAAGUUACAUGUUAAAAUGUCAAGGAAUCUUGAAGAAACAAAGCUCCAAUCUAUCCUAGAGCAAUGCAAGUCAUUCAUAUGCAAGAAUGAGCGAGAACAGAUCAGUAAAUUGCUUAGUUCGCUGUCCUUUGGGAAGAGCUGUUUCUAUAGUUAGUUUUGGUAGGUGAUCGUCGUGGCAUCUAGUAAGUGUUAGCGCAUGUUCCUUGAGUCAUACUCUGCUAAUCCGGUCUGGUUUUUUAUAUCUGACUGUUAUGGAUUAUGACUUGUUUAUGUCCUAUAAUAAUUGAGAUAAUGAAUAAUUGCCACAUGAUGGCUUAUGUAUUGUAUUCGUCACAAUAUGACCUAUACAUUGGAUUAUGAUGUAUGUUGCUUUUGCAUUAUGAGCACAUUAGCGUGCGGAUCGAUUUGAUAUUUUUUGAUAGAUGAUAUAAUCAUGUUUAUAUUUUUUCACAUAUGAUUCCAUGGUGAUGAGUCCCAUGAGGCA
Non-coding RNA from Theobroma cacao (cacao), 1127 nucleotides. The record is from RefSeq and is a predicted model, not a curated record. NCBI's taxonomy places the organism in Eukaryota, Viridiplantae, Streptophyta, Magnoliopsida, Malvales, Malvaceae.